AGCGGCGGACGGGUGAGUAACGCGUGGGUAACCUGCCCUAUACACAUGGAUAACAUACUGAAAAGUUUACUAAUACAUGAUAAUAUAUAUUCGCGGCAUCGCAGAUAUAUCAAAGUGUUAGCGGUAUAGGAUGGACCCGCGUCUGAUUAGCUAGUUGGUGAGAUAACUGCCCACCAAGGCGACGAUCAGUAGCCGACCUGAGAGGGUGAUCGGCCACAUUGGAACUGAGACACGGUCCAAACUCCUACGGGAGGCAGCAGUGGGGAAUAUUGCACAAUGGGCGAAAGCCUGAUGCAGCAACGCCGCGUGAACGAUGAAGGUCUUCGGAUCGUAAAGUUCUGUUGCAGGGGAAGAUAAUGACGGUACCCUGUGAGGAAGCCCCGGCUAACUACGUGCCAGCAGCCGCGGUAAUACGUAGGGGGCUAGCGUUAUCCGGAUUUACUGGGCGUAAAGGGUGCGUAGGUGGUCCUUCAAGUCGGUGGUUAAAGGCUACGGCUCAACCGUAGUAAGCCGCCGAAACUGGAGGACUUGAGUGCAGGAGAGGAAAGUGGAAUUCCCAGUGUAGCGGUGAAAUGCGUAGAUAUUGGGAGGAACACCAG
RNAcentral lists this ribosomal RNA (599 nucleotides) under uncultured Peptostreptococcaceae bacterium. RNAcentral describes it as "bacterial SSU rRNA". It matches the Rfam family "Bacterial small subunit ribosomal RNA", at positions 94 to 712 of the family's 1533-position model. Lineage: Bacteria; Bacillati; Bacillota; Clostridia; Peptostreptococcales; Peptostreptococcaceae. The record is from RNAcentral.